AGAGUUUGAUCAUGGCUCAGAACGAACGCUGGCGGCAUGCCUAACACAUGCAAGUCGAACGAAGCCUUCGGGCUUAGUGGCGCACGGGUGCGUAACGCGUGGGAAUCUGCCCUUGGGUUCGGAAUAACAGUUAGAAAUGACUGCUAAUACCGGAUAAUGUCUUCGGACCAAAGAUUUAUCGCCCAGGGAUGAGCCCGCGUAGGAUUAGCUAGUUGGUGAGGUAAAGGCUCACCAAGGCGACGAUCCUUAGCUGGUCUGAGAGGAUGAUCAGCCACACUGGGACUGAGACACGGCCCAGACUCCUACGGGAGGCAGCAGUGGGGAAUAUUGGACAAUGGGCGAAAGCCUGAUCCAGCAAUGCCGCGUGAGUGAUGAAGGCCUUAGGGUUGUAAAGCUCUUUUACCCGGGAUGAUAAUGACAGUACCGGGAGAAUAAGCCCCGGCUAACUCCGUG
This 453-nucleotide ribosomal RNA is filed under the name uncultured bacterium. Its description in RNAcentral is "bacterial SSU rRNA". It matches the Rfam family "Bacterial small subunit ribosomal RNA", at positions 8 to 507 of the family's 1533-position model. The record is from RNAcentral.